Molecule: ribosomal RNA, 494 nt
Filed under: uncultured bacterium
Lineage: Bacteria
Description: partial 16S ribosomal RNA
Rfam family: Bacterial small subunit ribosomal RNA
Source: RNAcentral
GACGAACGCUGGCGGCGUGCUUAACACAUGCAAGUCGAACGGUGAAGCGCCUUCCUUUUUGGUGGGUGUGGAUGAGUGGCGAACGGGUGAGUAACACGUGGGUAACCUGCCCCCUUCUUCUGGAUAACCGCAUGAAAGUGUGGCUAAUACGGGAUAUUCUGGGUCUGUCGCAUGAUGGGUCUGGGAAAGAUAUUGUUUCGGUGGGGGAUGGGCUCGCGGCCUAUCAGCUUGUUGGUGGGGUGAUGGCCUACCAAGGCGGUGACGGGUAGCCGGCCUGAGAGGGUGGACGGUCACACUGGGACUGAGACACGGCCCAGACUCCUACGGGAGGCAGCAGUGGGGAAUAUUGCACAAUGGGCGCAAGCCUGAUGCAGCGACGCCGCGUGAGGGAUGGAGGCCUUCGGGUUGUGAACCUCUUUCGCCAGUGAAGCAGGCCUGCCUCGUUUGUGGGUGGGUUGACGGUAGCUGGAUAAGAAGCGCCGGCUAACUACGUG